CGAGUUUGGACGUUCAACGCCACUUUAAGAAGAUAAUUCGAGUAGACGAGUUGGAGAACGUAAAUAGUUUAUUCGAAAAGAUAUUAGAAACUUAUUAUUCUUUAGAAUGAUUACCCGACAACUGAUCAGGAGAUUCACAACAAGCGCCGUACGAAGAUCGGAUCACGAGGGUGAUGGUAUACCCGGUCACAAUUUACCGUUCCCGAUAAAAAACAAGCUCUUGUUGACCAUGAUAUUUUGCGCCUUUUUUGGAAGUGGCUUCUCAUUACCAUUCAUAUCUGUUCGCUAUAAUAUGCUGAAAUAAAUUAUAUUUUAUUAAUACUUAGUAAAGUUAAAUGCGCAUCAAUGGUCUACACACUUAGAAAUGAAUAUCUGUAGUGUUAUAUGUUAAUUGUUUAUUCGAAUCUAUUGUACAUUAUAUGUACAUUUAACAAGGCAAUAUUAAAUCAUGUUAUUAUGUAAUAUUAAA
Molecule: long non-coding RNA, 469 nt
Organism: Vespa mandarinia (Asian giant hornet)
Lineage: Eukaryota; Metazoa; Arthropoda; Insecta; Hymenoptera; Vespidae
Gene: COX7C
Source: RefSeq, a predicted model, not a curated record